AUGUAUACCGGUCACACUGGUCAGAACAAAUGGAGCGCUGAAUGGUUCACAAAAACCAAGGGGUUUGUGCAAGCCGCAUUUGCAAAUGGCCAGAGGAAAACCUGGUGCCCCUGUUUCCGGUGCGGCAAUUGGGAAAAGAGGACAGAGGCUGAAAUGGGCAAACACCUGCAGAAGAGUGGUUUUACGCCCGAUUAUACGGUGUGGACAUUUCAUGGUGAGUCUGCCCAACGUGACCGAGCUGAGGUGGAUCGUCAUUGCACCGACGAGCAUGGUACCGGGAUGGAAAACAUGGUGCAAUACUAUGAUGAUGCUCGGGAUUCGGACAAGGAGAUGGAGGAAUCUACAAAGGCCUUCAAUGAAAUGUUGGAGUCUUCAAAACGUCCGCUCCACGAGCACACUGAGCUUUGUCAGUUGGAUGCCAUCUCACAAGUAAUGGCUCUGAAGGCUCAGUUCAACUUGGGCAGAGAAUGCGAUGACGCAAUUAUGACAGUAUUUGGACGCUUUCUAACCAAAGGCCAUGUAAUGCCUGCAAACCUGUACCAGUCGGACAAAAUCCUCCGUGCACUGAAGAUGCCCUAUGAGAAGAUACAUGCCUGUGAGAAAGGAUGUGCCUUAUUUAGGCUUGACUAUGCGGACUUGAACUAUUGUCCCAUUUGCAAGUCUUCCAGGUAUAUUGUGGUAGAUAACGGUAUGGGUGAGAAGACACAGACCAAAAUCCCCGUUAGUGUUCUUCAGUAUAUGCCAAUCAUACCAAGACUUCAACGUCUUUUCAUGGUCGAAGAGAAGGCCAGACAGAUGACAUGGCACAAAACAGGCAAAAGAGCCGAACUAGAUGCAGAUGGGAAUUUGAUGAUGGUACACACAUCGGAUGGUGUUGCGUGGAAAAAGUUUGAUGAAUUACAUGUUGACAAAGCGACAGAUCCAAGGCAUCCUCGAGUCGGCAUCAGCAUGGAUGGGUUCAGUGUGUUUGGUAUGACGGCAACCCAAUAA
This 990-nucleotide ribosomal RNA is filed under the name Triticum aestivum (bread wheat). RNAcentral's name for it is "partial small subunit ribosomal RNA". The record is from RNAcentral. Lineage: Eukaryota; Viridiplantae; Streptophyta; Magnoliopsida; Poales; Poaceae.